UAAUCUUACAUCGGAAUGAAUUAAUAGGUGCCGCUAACAUUGUAAUUUAAUGGACACAGAUUAUUCCAAUUUGCGGUUGUCAGAAUUGUUUGAGUUCCAAAAGCCGUGUAAAAUAAUAGCAGCUCAUGCUGCUGUACUGUAAUUUCCAUUCUAAUGUAAUUUGAAACAGGUGUUUCGAAACAGCGUAAAUUGUUUGCCUUCAAAUUUUCAAAUUAUUCCGUAACAAUUUGCAAAAGAAGCUUCCUGUGAAGAUGGCGCUGCGAUAGCUACUCUCGUCCAGACGUCGCCUGACUAGAAGCACUAGUGUCGACACGUGCUUGCGGCAAAUGUCUUUAUUUCCCAUGAAACGUAUCGACACUACCACGUGUACAUCUACCUUGUCAAUUAUUACCUAAUACCUACCAGAUACGAUCUACAAAUAGAAGGAAAAACAGUUUCAAGUACACAUAACCUUUACGCGUGCAGUCGUACAGACGAACAAUCCCUGUCAACCUAACAAGAACGACACACGAAGAGACGCGUCUGGUAUCCUAUGCUAGAAGAGUCUAGUCAAGAGAGUGUUUAAAACAUUAUUUACUGAAAGGUUUCAAAGAACGCAACGAACUCGUGAAAAUUUUCAGGCUGUGGCGACCCUGAUGAGAUUCGUGAAAAUAUUUUAGAAUUUACUUCAACGAGUUUAUCUAUAUUUAAUUGACGUUAUCGUCUAAGGAUAAUCCUGGGAAGGCUUAUGUUACUACCAGAAGGGUUUUCGCGAAGACGAUUUUCCAAGUUAGAGGCAACCUGAAGCUAUGGAUCAUGGCAAUUAGCCACGUGGAAAAAA
Long non-coding RNA from Cephus cinctus (wheat stem sawfly), 820 nucleotides. RefSeq lists it as uncharacterized. The record is from RefSeq and is a predicted model, not a curated record. Lineage: Eukaryota; Metazoa; Arthropoda; Insecta; Hymenoptera; Cephidae. The transcript is spliced from 3 exons.